This 761-nucleotide long non-coding RNA is filed under the name Lathyrus oleraceus (garden pea). Its description in RNAcentral is "Pisum sativum (pea) long non-coding RNA (PSAT_LNC004137)". The record is from RNAcentral. Lineage: Eukaryota; Viridiplantae; Streptophyta; Magnoliopsida; Fabales; Fabaceae.
AUGUCUUAUAAACCCGCUACUGAUAUCAUAAAUAAAGAAUAUGAGAUAAUUGCCUAAUUUCUCAUUCACUAUCAAAUGAAUAUAUACAAAAGAAAAUUCCCAAACUAUAUAUUAUCAAAGAAAAAUAAUCAAUAUUCUAAGUGCCUUGUUUCAUAUUAUUACCAAUAUCUUAAAGUACAAAAUCUUAAAUGUACUAUGUUAUUGUGAAAUUAUGAAAGAAAAAAAAAAUACAUUUAUUGGGUGCUAGUAAAGUAACAAAUGGCAACUGAGGAAUAUUUUCCAUGUAUUGAGUUUGUUUAAUCUUUUGGUUGUAUUACUCGUGCAGGAUUAACAUAUGUACAUUUGUUGUCAAUGCACUUCCACCUUCUAGGCAACACUUUUUGACAAUCUGCAUCUGUUUUACAUUCAACUAUUGCUGUAAUGAAAAAACAAAUUAAAAAUAAUGUCAAUAAAACAAGAUAAAACUUGUGUUAAGAUCAAAUUUUAAAAGGAUGGAAAAGCAUGUUACCGCAAAUAUUUCUUGCAAUAGAAAAUACAUAAAUAAAUAAAAUCAUAAAAUGAACAAUUUUGAGAGUUUUAGCCAUAUUUUCUCUUUUUGCAUGUUAUAAAUAUAGUAUGAUAUGAUUAAUUUAUAGGUAUAAAAUUUAUGUGAAGUUAAAAUAAAUUACUUAUUCUUAGCGCUUGAGGGGUUGUCAAAAACAUCUUUAAAUUACUAUAAUAAAGUAAUGUAUUUUAAAUAGAUUAAUGUGUUAUAUUUGCCC